CGGCGUGCUUAACACAGUGCAAGUCGAACGGGACGAUUGAAAGCUUGCUUUUGAAAGUCGAGUGGCAAACGGGUGAGUAACGCGUAGGCAACCUGCCUCUAGGAUGGGGACAACAGUCCGAAAGGACUGCUAAUACCGAAUGUUGUAUCUCCUCUGCAUGGAAGAGAUAUUAAAGAUGGCCUCUACUUGUAAGCUAUCGCUUUGCGAUGGGUCUGCGUCUGAUUAGCUAGUUGGUGGGGCAACGGCCUACCAAGGCGACGAUCAGUAGCCGGUCUGAGAGGAUGAACGGCCACAUUGGAACUGAGACACGGUCCAGACUCCUACGGGAGGCAGCAGUGGGGAAUCUUCCGCAAUGGGCGAAAGCCUGACGGAGCAACGCCGCGUGAGUGAAGAAGGUCUUCGGAUCGUAAAGCUCUGUUGUCGGGGACGAAUGUUGAGAUCUAGAAUAUAGAUUUCAAAUGACGGUACCUGACGAGGAAGCCACGGCUAACUACGUG
This 497-nucleotide ribosomal RNA is filed under the name uncultured bacterium. RNAcentral's name for it is "bacterial SSU rRNA". It matches the Rfam family "Bacterial small subunit ribosomal RNA", at positions 40 to 507 of the family's 1533-position model. The record is from RNAcentral.